GGGGAUGUAGCUCAGUGGGUAGAGUGCUAGCCUUACAUGCACAAGGCCCUGGGUUCAAUCCCCAGCACCACCA
RNAcentral lists this transfer RNA (73 nucleotides) under Urocitellus parryii (Arctic ground squirrel). Its description in RNAcentral is "Spermophilus parryii (Arctic ground squirrel) tRNA". It matches the Rfam family "tRNA". From Rfam's summary of the family: Transfer RNA (tRNA) molecules are approximately 80 nucleotides in length. Their secondary structure includes four short double-helical elements and three loops (D, anti-codon, and T loops). The record is from Rfam by way of RNAcentral. Lineage: Eukaryota; Metazoa; Chordata; Mammalia; Rodentia; Sciuridae. RNAcentral also lists the same sequence under 2 other names.